RNAcentral lists this long non-coding RNA (3011 nucleotides) under Sus scrofa (pig). Its description in RNAcentral is "lncRNA (ENSSSCG00045039476.1)". Lineage: Eukaryota; Metazoa; Chordata; Mammalia; Artiodactyla; Suidae. The record is from RNAcentral.
GGAAUGCCCGCGGCGGAGGGAGGGCACGUUGGCCACAAGCCCAGAGCAGCUGCUGCUGCUGCUCGGAUUCCGCCCGCCUUCCCCUCCCUGGGACUCUCGGUUUGCAGCCGGAGAUUCAAGAACUGGCUUGGAUCCCUAAGGGCAUGGAAGGCCUCCUCUGCUGGUGGAAGGAAGUCUCUGACAAUGGUGAGAGUUUUCAAGAGAAGCUUAUUGCUAAGGGGGUGGGGGAGAUAAUUGAGCAAUCAUGUUUGGGAUUGAUUACUGGGUCUGAAAGCGCAGUGGAAUUUCAAUGCUAUGUCUCCUCACAGAGCUCACAGCCGGAUCCAGGAGAACUACCCAUAAACACACAGCUGUGAGGGCCCAGCAGGACUUUGUAAACCAUCUAACCUGGUGAAUCAAGGAAGACUUCCUGGAGGAAGAGAUAUUUAGGCUGAGAUCAGAAAGUCUCAGUAAAGUAAGAAUAAUCAGGUGAAAGGUUAGGGGUGGGAGAGAGAAGAUGGUUUUGUUUCAGGGUAAACAGAUGGAGCAAAGACCUGGAAGGAAGAUGCAACACAGCGGUCUAGGGAGCAGAAAAAUAUCUUUAAAUUAAUUUUUUAAAUUUGGCCUGGCCCACGACUUUUGGAAGUUCCCCAGGCCAGGAAUCAAACCAGCGUCACAGCUGUAACAGAACCACAGUAGUGACAAUCCUGGCUCCUUAACCCACUGAGCCACCAGUGAGCUCUGUAAGAUCUUUAAAUCUUUCAUAGUAGGCCAUGGAGAGUCUCAUUUUGAUGUAUUAAUUUAUCCAUUCAUUUAUCAGAAAUUUGGGGUCUACCAUGUGCCAUAGGUAGGUGCUGCGGAUGCAGCUGAACGCACAGAUAAUCACUCCUCCCCAUGGAGUUGACAUUCUAGUGGUUGGAGAUGGGCAAGAAACAAAUAUGUCAGGUGAUGAGAAAUAAAGCAAGUUCAGGGGAUAGAGUGACAGGGUGCUAUCUUGUGAUCAGGGAAGGGCCUCUCUGAGGAGGUGACACUUGAAUCCCUAACUGAGUUGAAGGAGGGAGACAUGUAGAUAGAAAAAGUGUUCUAGGCAGAUGCAACAGUAAGUGCAAAGGCCCUGAGAUAGAAGUAUGUAUAGAGUGUUUAAGAAACAACAAAGAGGAGUUCCCACUGUCGUACAGUGGGUUAAGGAUCUGGCAUUGCUGCAGCUAUGGCUCAGAUUUAAUCCCUGGCCUGGGAACUUCCAUAUGCUGUGGGUGUGGAGAAAAAAAAAAAAAAAAAAAGAAAAGAAAAACAAAGAAGGAAGGAAGAAAGAAAUACAAAAGAGGGUCAUGCUCUGAGAAUGGAGUGAGUGAUGGGAAGAGAGUGGGAGAUAAUUAGAAAUGAAUAUCCAGGGAUCAGGAUAUGUAAGAGGCCUCAUGGUUGUGGUUUUGAAUCUAAAUUAGAGAGGAAAUCCUUGGAAAGUUUUGAAAUGGGGAGAGACAUUUUCUUUCUGUUUCAACAGAAUUAGUCUGCGGAUGUCCUUUGUUACUAUGACUUGAAAUCCAAAAGUAACAAGAACAACAAAGAUGAGUAAUUCUGAAACAUAAAAAUAAGACCAAAUAUCACCACAGAAAAGUUAAAAAAAAAACUGGGAGAAAAUAUUUGCACUUCAUAUUAUAGACUCCCUAAUGUCCAUCAUAUGUAAAGAGUUUCUCAGAAUGAAUAAUAAAAUAUAUACAAUCCCAGAGGGAAAAACUUGAGCAAAAAGUAUAGUCAGAAUGUCCACUGAGAAUGAAACACAAAAGUUCUUUAAUACAUGAAAUGAUACUGGGCCUCUCAUAAGCUUCGUGCCAGUUAAAAUAAGAGAAACAUGUAAUACUAAUUUUUAUAAAACUUUGGAAAGAUCAAUAAUGCCCAGGAUGCUGAGGCUGUGGGGAAGCGAGCUAGUUAACAUGUGGACAUCAGUCCUCCCCAGUGGAGAUGAAUUUGAUGAUGUUCAUAAAAAUUACACUCUCAUACUAAGUGAAGUAAGUCAGAAAGAGAAAGAUAAAUACUUUAUGAUAUCACCGAUAUCUGGAAUCUAAUAUACAGCACAAAUGAACCUUUCCACAGAAAAUAAAUUCAUAGACUUGGAGAACAGACUUGUGGUUGCCAAGGGGAAGGGGGAGGGAGUGAGAUGGACUGGGAAUUUAGGGUUAAUAGAUGCAAACUAUUGCCUUUGGAAUGGAUAAGCAAUGAGAUCCUGCUGUAUAGCACAGGAAGCUAUAUCUAGUCACUUGUGAUGGAACAUGAUGGAGGAUAAUGUAAAAAAAAAGAAAAAAAAAUAUGAGACUGGGUCACUUUGCUGUACAGUAGAAAAUUGACAGAACACUGCAAAGCAACCGUAAUGGAAAAAAUAAAGAUCGUUUAAAAAAAAGAAAAGGAAUGUGUUUCAAAAAAAUUACAAAUGCAUAGCUUCUUUGGCCAAGUAAUCCCAUGACAGAAAUACUUGCACAUGUGUGAAAUGAUGUCUGCACCCAAGGUUAUUCAUUGCAACCAUUUCUAUCUUAGCGAAAGACUGGAAAGAGCCCAAAGAUUCAUCACUACAGUUGCCUAAAUUAUAAUCCAUCUACACAAUGGAAUAUAUUGCAGCUGAACCAAAGAAUGAGGAAGUCUGCUCAGGCUAAUCUGGAAAACCUUCCAAGAUGUAUUAUUCCAGGAAAGAAGCAGAGUUCACACUUAUGUGUAUAGUAUGUUGCCUUUGUGAAUAAGUUUUAAAAAGUAUGUUUUCUGCAGUUUCCGUCAUGGCUCAGCGGUAGUGAACCUGACUAGUAUCGAUGAGGACUUGGGUUCAGUCCCUGGCCUCACUCAGUAUGUUAAGGAUCCAGCGUUGCCUUCAGCUGUGGUGUAGGCUGGCAGCUUCAAUUCGACCCCUAGCCUGGGAACUUCCAUAUGCCAUGGGUGCUACCCUAAAAAGAUAUAUAUAUAUAUUCAAUUUUUUCCAUGGAAAUACCCUAUAUUUAUUUUUAAAGUUGUGGUAAAAUAUACAUACCUUAAAAUUUACCAUUUUGACC